AUGCACGGUGAAGUCGCCGUCGACCAGCUCAAACGUGUUGAUGAGCACAUCGGAGACCUCAGCGCCGGACACACGUGGUCGGUUGCCGGUGAUGGAGGCGACCAUGGCGCGGCUAAGGACGUCCUCCGCCUCCAUCUCGACGGAGUGGGCCAUGAUCACCCGCACGGGCUCGGGCUCCGGCGCGCGAGGAGGGGGCGCUGUGACCAGGGCGGUCACCAGUGGCAGGGGUGGCGGCGUAGGCGCGGCCCGGCGCGGCGGGGGUGGCGGCGGGGGGGCGGUCUGGCGCGUGGCCGCAUCCGCGGCAGAGGGGCCGGCGUUGGUGGCGCGGGCACGUUCGGUGGCGUCGCGGCGCCUGUUCUCGCAGGAGCGAGAGUCGUGGCCAGAUUCGAGGCAUCGGCGACAGCGGAUGUCGUUGGUGCAGUCUCUGAUCCGGUGGCGAUGGUCGAGGCAGCGGAAGCAGAGCCCCGCGACCUCCUCCGGCGACGGGCUGCGCCGUCGCAGCGGCGGAGGGCUUGGCCCGGCCGAGGAGCGCGGGUGGUUGCCGCGGUGCCUGCGCCGCGGCUGCUGGAACCCGUCGGCAUCAACCUGAACUCCGCCGGAGAUGCGAUGCACCUCGGAGCGGGGGCCGAGGCGGGUUGCGGCAGGCUGUCGAGGGGGCGCCAGGGCGGGCAGCGCCAUAGGCGCCGGUGCAGAAGCCGGCGGGGUCCGGGCGACGUCGCUGUAGGAACGCGGCGAGGACUCGCUCUCCGACUCGAACCCGCUGCCCCCAGAGGACACGCGGUCGCAGUCAGAGAGGGUCGCUCGGCGCCCAGCAGGGUCAGCGCCGGAGGAAGCCAUGGCGGGUGCCGCGGGGAGGGGAGCUGGAGGGGGCUCGCGGUGGGGUGGAGGGCCGCCGGCGGGGAAUCGGCGACAGCGGGGCUAGAGGAGGGAAGGAGCUAG
This 939-nucleotide ribosomal RNA is filed under the name Triticum aestivum (bread wheat). RNAcentral's name for it is "partial small subunit ribosomal RNA". Lineage: Eukaryota; Viridiplantae; Streptophyta; Magnoliopsida; Poales; Poaceae. The record is from RNAcentral.